CUACGGGAGGCACCAGUGGGGAAUCUUAGACAAUGGGGGAAACCCUGAUCUAGCCAUGCCGCGUGAGCGACGACGGCCCUAGGGUUGUAAAGCUCUUUCAGCAGGGAAGAUAAUGACGGUACCUGCAGAAGAAGUCCCGGCUAACUCCGUGCCAGCAGCCGCGGUAAUACGGAGGGGACUAGCGUUGUUCGGAAUUACUGGUCGUAAAGCGCGCGUAGGCGGAUUGUUAAGUCGGGGGUGAAAUCCCGGGGCUCAACCCCGGAACUGCCCUCGAUACUGGCAGUCUUGAGUUCGAGAGAGGUGAGUGGAAUUCCGAGUGUAGAGGUGAAAUUCGUAGAUAUUCGGAGGAACACCAGUGGCGAAGGCGGCUCACUGGCUCGAUACUGACGCUGAGGUGCGAAAGCGUGGGGAGCAAACAGGAUUAGAUACCCUCGUAGUC
RNAcentral lists this ribosomal RNA (439 nucleotides) under uncultured bacterium. Its description in RNAcentral is "partial 16S ribosomal RNA". It matches the Rfam family "Bacterial small subunit ribosomal RNA", at positions 339 to 795 of the family's 1533-position model. The record is from RNAcentral.